Non-coding RNA from Arachis ipaensis, 958 nucleotides. The record is from RefSeq and is a predicted model, not a curated record. Lineage: Eukaryota; Viridiplantae; Streptophyta; Magnoliopsida; Fabales; Fabaceae.
AAAACCCUAAUCUCCACUGCCACUUACCACCGCCACAUGCUUCCCCUUUCUUCUAACAUACCAACACACAGCAACAGAAAUUAGAAGCAAGAAAGAAAAGGGAGAGAUCGAUCCUAGAGUGAGGCUGCGAUGGGGAAGAGAGAAGAGAGGAGGGGGAACUGCUGCCGCACCGCCACCGCGUCUUGAUGCCGCCGUCGUCUUCUCGGUGGAGCCAUGCGCGAGAGAGGAAGGUCGAAAGAGAGAUAGUGAUUCGAGAGAGAAGAGGAAGCAGCGCUGUCACCCAGCCGCCUUGCCUCCUUACUGCAGCCGAGUCACCCAUUCCCGUCGCUGUUCCGGCGCCGUGUAGCCAUCGCCGCCAUCAUCACGAGCUGCACAUCAUCGCCGUUAGAUCCACGUCGCGUCGCCGUGGCCGGAGCUUCUGCCACCACCGAGGAAGCUCGCGAAGGGAGAGAAGGAACCGCGAGCUAGAGGAGCCGUUGUCGUUGCCGUUGUUGCCCCGCCGCUGCCACCAUGACCGCGGGUGGAGUCCGCCGUCGAGCUGUGUGCCGCUGAUGGUGGUGAACCAAACGUUGCCCUUGAUGCUGGAGAAGAACACCGGAGUUGCUGUUCUGGUUCCGAUUCCUCCAUUUUUGAAACUUAUUGGUGUCGAUGCUGUUUUGGGACUGUUGUAGCUGUUGCUGGUUCUGUGUGAGGUUACUGCUGCUGCGAGAUAGGGAAAAAAGGAAUUUGUCGCAGUUAUAGAUUUCUUCGAGUUCCGGUUAAUUAAGGAUAAUUUUUUCGUACUGGUAAAGACAACAGGAGUUGACUAGUUUCUGCGGCACCGUUUAUAACAACUUCGAAUAUUCUUUACUUUUUAAUAAGAGACUUUAUCCGAUAUUACAUGUAAUGGAUAAAUUGCACUUUAUUUUGAUUAGUGUUGUAAUGGAUAUUUAUUUUUUAAUAAAAUUUUUAUGAUUUA